GCGCUGCCAUCUUCCAUCCAAUUGGCAAGAUGGCCGAGUUGGUCUAAGGCGCACGGUUCAGGUCAACCUGAUCCCGAUGGUAUACAACUGUCUCCGUGUCUCGAAAGGGGCGUGGGUUCAAAUCCCACUCUUGUCAU
RNAcentral lists this transfer RNA (137 nucleotides) under Penicillium nalgiovense. RNAcentral describes it as "tRNA-Leu". The stretch from base 24 to 136 matches the Rfam family "tRNA". Rfam says of the family: Transfer RNA (tRNA) molecules are approximately 80 nucleotides in length. Their secondary structure includes four short double-helical elements and three loops (D, anti-codon, and T loops). Further hydrogen bonds mediate the characteristic L-shaped molecular structure. tRNAs have two regions of fundamental functional importance: the anti-codon, which is responsible for specific mRNA codon recognition, and the 3' end, to which the tRNAs corresponding amino acid is attached (by aminoacyl-tRNA synthetases). tRNAs cope with the degeneracy of the genetic code in two manners: having more than one tRNA (with a specific anti-codon) for a particular amino acid; and 'wobble' base-pairing, i.e. permitting non-standard base-pairing at the 3rd anti-codon position. Lineage: Eukaryota; Fungi; Ascomycota; Eurotiomycetes; Eurotiales; Aspergillaceae. The record is from RNAcentral.